ACUCCUACGGGAGGCAGCAGUGGGGAAUAUUGGACAAUGGGGGGAACCCUGAUCCAGCCAUGCCGCGUGUGUGAAGAAGGCCUUAUGGUUGUAAAGCACUUUAAGCGAGGAGGAGGCUACUGAGACUAAUACUCUUGGAUAGUGGACGUUACUCGCAGAAUAAGCACCGGCUAACUCUGUGCCAGCAGCCGCGGUAAUACGGAGGGUGCGAGCGUUAAUCGGAAUUACUGGGCGUAAAGCGCAUGCAGGUGGUUUGUUAAGUCAGAUGUGAAAGCCCGGGGCUCAACCUCGGAAUAGCAUUUGAAACUGGCAGACUAGAGUACUGUAGAGGGGGUGAGAAGUUUCAGGUGUAGCGGUGAAAUGCGUAGAGAUCUGAAGGAAUACCGGUGGCGAAGGCGGCCCCUGCGCAGAUACUGACACUCAGAUGC
Molecule: ribosomal RNA, 428 nt
Filed under: uncultured bacterium
Lineage: Bacteria
Description: bacterial SSU rRNA
Rfam family: Bacterial small subunit ribosomal RNA
Source: RNAcentral